RNAcentral lists this ribosomal RNA (501 nucleotides) under uncultured bacterium. RNAcentral's name for it is "bacterial SSU rRNA". It matches the Rfam family "Bacterial small subunit ribosomal RNA", at positions 28 to 533 of the family's 1533-position model. The record is from RNAcentral.
GACGAACGCUGGCGGCGUGCUUAACACAUGCAAGUUGAACGGGCAUACAUGGAAGCUUGCUGAAGUGUAUGUUAGUAGCGGACGGGUGAGUAAUGCAUGAGAAGCUGCCAUUGGGAGGGGGACAACAGUUGGAAACGGCUGCUAAUACCCCGUAUGCCGGAAGGUGAAAGGGAGCGAUCCGCCCGAUGAGGUGCUCAUGUCCUAUCAGCUGGUUGGUGGGGUAACGGCCUACCAAGGCGACGACGGGUAGCCGGCCUGAGAGGGUGAACGGCCACACUGGAACUGAGAUACGGUCCAGACUCCUACGGGAGGCAGCAGUGAGGAAUAUUGGUCAAUGGGCGGAAGCCUGAACCAGCCAUGCCGCGUGCAGGAUGACGGCCCUACGGGUUGUAAACUGCUUUUCCCCGGGCGAAUAACCCCCUCGCGAGGGGGAGUGCCGGUACCGGGGAAGUAAGGAUCGGCGUAACUCCGUGCCACGCAGCCGCGGUAACGUGUAGUCGU